Molecule: ribosomal RNA, 393 nt
Filed under: uncultured Clostridium sp.
Lineage: Bacteria; Bacillati; Bacillota; Clostridia; Eubacteriales; Clostridiaceae
Description: bacterial SSU rRNA
Rfam family: Bacterial small subunit ribosomal RNA
Source: RNAcentral
UUUGGGAAUAUUGGACAAUGGAGGAAACUCUGAUCCAGUGACGCCGCGUGAAGGAAGAAGGUCUUCGGAUUGUAAACUUAUUUUAUCAGGGAAGAAGAAAGUGACUGUACCUGAAGAAGAAGGACCGGCUAACUACGUGCCAGCAGCCGCGGUAAUGCGUAGGGUCCAAGCGUUAUCCGGAUUUACUGGGUGUAAAGGGCGAGUAGACGGCAUAGCAAGUCAGAUGUGAAAACUUAGGGCUCAACCUUAAGCGUGCAUCUGAAGCUGUUAAGCUAGAGUGCAGAAGAGGUAAGCGGAAUUCCUAGUGUAGCGGUGAAAUGCGUAGAUAUUAGGAGGAACACCAGUGGCGAAGGCGGCUUACUGGGCUGUAACUGACGUUGAGGAGCGAAAGUG